UUGUGGUAGUUGGGCGGGUGGUAGAGAUCGCAACGGCUGCAGCAUUCCCGGGGAGCGUGAGACGGCCACGGUGGCUGCAGCUCCGAAGUCGUGAGGGACCUCACGCUUCCCUCCUGUCGCUGGCGCUGAGCCUUCUGCCUCUCCUGCCCGGCUCCUCGACCCCGGCCCCGUCUGGACUGGGAAGAGAGGCCCCGGGGAGGGGCGGAGCUGUAGGUGAGAGGACCGAAAUUCAAGUCUAUGAAUUGUGCUUUUCUCCAGAAGCAGCACGCUGGGAAAAACACAUUGAAAUGGCAAGAAAGGGAGACUAGAAGAUAAACGUCUGCUCACCUUCCUAUUCAUGUGGCAACCUGAUGAAUUUGACUUAAGGGGGAUCAUUUCAGAUCAUCAGUCUUAUCAUCUUUCUGUUGGCAACAGGUCCACCUUGGCCCCUGGAGCCCUACCUCCACUAGUUUGUUCUGCAUGCCAGUGUGGCCAGCUCACAAGGCCAUGGCGAACUUGCGGUUUUUCUGUUCCUGCUUAUCCGUCUGAGACAUAUGUAUCCCACGGGAAUGCCUUGACCUUUUCUGGUCUGAUGGACUUAUUGUUAAGGGAGGUUUUGGUACCUGACAAUAAUAGAUGUUGAAACUAAAUUUCUCCCCCCUCCCUCCUGCUUUUGGGUAGUUUUCCACUUCUGCUGCUUGGGGUAUAAAAAAAGGUGUGUUAGCAAUAAAGAUUAUUGACUCCUGGAUGAAGAACCUUGGUGUCCUGUGUGUCUUUUAACCUCGCCGUCCCUCGCCGGACUCGGCUCCCUUGGCCGGACGCGGCAUAAAGCAGUGCAAGGUAAAGAUUCCACGAAUGAUUAAAUGUAUGAUAAAAAAUAGUUUGGGAUUCCUUGCUGUUUGAGAUGUCUUUUUCAAUUAAUUUAAAUUUGCCUAU
Molecule: long non-coding RNA, 915 nt
Organism: Marmota monax (woodchuck)
Lineage: Eukaryota; Metazoa; Chordata; Mammalia; Rodentia; Sciuridae
Exons: 3
Source: RefSeq, a predicted model, not a curated record